RNAcentral lists this ribosomal RNA (254 nucleotides) under uncultured bacterium. Its description in RNAcentral is "partial 16S ribosomal RNA". It matches the Rfam family "Bacterial small subunit ribosomal RNA", at positions 526 to 779 of the family's 1533-position model. The record is from RNAcentral.
CAGAGGGUGCGAGCGUUAAAUCGGAUUUACUGGGCGUAAAGCGUGUGUAGGUGGUUGUUCGAAGUCGGUUGUGAAAUCCCUGGGCUUAACCUGGGACUAGCUUCCGAGACUGAGCGACUAGAGUACGGUAGAGGCGGUGGAAUUUCCGGUGUAGCGGUGAAAUGCGUAGAUAUCGGAAGGACACCAAAUGGCGAAGGCAGCCGCCUGGGCCUGUACUGACACUGAGACACGAAAGCGUGGGAUCAAACAGGAUU